AGUCGAACGGACUAUUGGUAAUGAUUUUGGAAUAUCAGUAUGUCGGGGUUUUCUCUGAUAUCUGAUAUCUGAUUUCUGUCCUCUAGUUAGUGGCGAACGGGUGAGUAACACGUGGAUAACCUGCCUUAUACUUUGGGAUACCUUCGGGAAACUGAAGUUAAUACCAAAUAAGCACACCAAUAUCGCAUGGUAUAGUGUGAAAAGUUUUGGCUUAAUGCCUUUGCGGUAUAAGAGGGGUCCGCGUUCAAUUAGCUAGUUGGUGAGAUAACAGCUCACCAAGGCUACGAUUGAUAGCCGGGAUGAGAGUCUGAACGGCCACAUUGGGACUGAGACACGGCCCAAACUCCUACGGGAGGCAGCAGUCGGGAAUAUUGCACAAUGGGGGAAACCCUGAUGCAGCAACGCCGCGUGAAGGAAGAAGGCCUUCGGGUUGUAAACUUCUUUAGGCAGGGAUGAAUAAAAUGACAGUACCUGCAGAAUAAGCACCGGCUAAAUACGUGCCAGCAGCCGCGGUAAUACGUAUGGUGCAAGCGUUAUCCGGAAUUACUGGGUGUAAAGGGUGAGUAGGCGGUUAUUUAAGUCACAUGUGAAAUCCUUGGGCUCAACCCGAGAACUGCAUGAGAAACUGGAUAACUAGAGU
This 640-nucleotide ribosomal RNA is filed under the name uncultured Bacillota bacterium. RNAcentral describes it as "bacterial SSU rRNA". It matches the Rfam family "Bacterial small subunit ribosomal RNA", at positions 60 to 647 of the family's 1533-position model. Lineage: Bacteria; Bacillati; Bacillota. The record is from RNAcentral.